GGCCCGAGUUGUAAUUUGUAGAGGAUGCUUUUGGCGAGGUGCCUUCCGAGUUCCCUGGAACGGGACGCCACAGAGGGUGAGAGCCCCGUAUGGUCGGACACCGAGCCUCUGUAAAGCUCCUUCGACGAGUCGAGUAGUUUGGGAAUGCUGCUCAAAAUGGGAGGUAUAUGUCUUCUAAAGCUAAAUAUUGGCCAGAGACCGAUAGCGCACAAGUAGAGUGAUCGAAAGAUGAAAAGCACUUUGAAAAGAGGGUUAAAAAGUACGUGAAAUUGUUGAAAGGGAAGCGCCUAUGACCAGACUUGGGCCCGGUGAAUCACCCAGCGUUCUCGCUGGUGCACUUUGCCGGGCACAGGCCAGCAUCAGUUCAGCGCGGGGGAGAAAGGCUUCGGGAAUGUGGCUCCCUCGGGAGUGUUAUAGCCCGCUGCGUAAUGCCCUGCGCCGGACUGAGGUACGCGCAUUGCAAGGAUGCUGGCGUAAUGGUCAUCAGCGACCCGUCUUGAAACACGGACCAAGGAGUCGUCUUCGUAUGCGAGUGUUCGGGUGUCAAACCCCUACGCGUAAUGAAAGUGAACGUAGGUGAGAGCUUCGGCGCAUCACCGACCGAUCCUGAUGUUCUCGGAUGGAUUUGAGUAAGAGCAUACGGGGCCGGACCCGAAAGAAGGUGAACUAUGCCUGUAUAGGGUGAAGCCAGAGGAAACUCUGG
This 703-nucleotide ribosomal RNA is filed under the name Beauveria caledonica. RNAcentral's name for it is "partial large subunit ribosomal RNA". It matches the Rfam family "Eukaryotic large subunit ribosomal RNA", at positions 135 to 867 of the family's 3401-position model. The record is from RNAcentral. Lineage: Eukaryota; Fungi; Ascomycota; Sordariomycetes; Hypocreales; Cordycipitaceae.